GCCUACGGGAGGCAGCAGUGAGGAAUAUUGGUCAAUGGCCGGAAGGCUGAACCAGCCAAGUCGCGUGAGGGACGACUGCCCUAUGGGUUGUAAACCUCUUUUAUAAGGGAAGAAUAAAUGCUACGUGUAGCAUGAUGCCUGUACCUUAUGAAUAAGCAUCGGCUAACUCCGUGCCAGCAGCCGCGGUAAUACGGAGGAUGCGAGCGUUAUCCGGAUUUAUUGGGUUUAAAGGGUGCGUAGGCGGUUUUUUAAGUAAGUGGUUAAACGUCGGGGCUUCACCUUGAUAUGCCAUUAAUACUGUAAGA
Molecule: ribosomal RNA, 305 nt
Filed under: uncultured bacterium
Lineage: Bacteria
Description: bacterial SSU rRNA
Rfam family: Bacterial small subunit ribosomal RNA
Source: RNAcentral